UAGCCUUGACAUACUACAGAAUUUGACAGAGAUGUUGAAGUGCCUUCGGGAGCUGUAAUACAGGUGCUGCACGGCUGUCGUCAGCUCGUGUCGUGAGAUGUUGGGUUAAGUCCCGCAACGAGCGCAACCCUCGUCCUUAGUUACUAACGGUUUGGCCGAGGACUCUAAGGAGACUGCCUUCGUAAGGAGGAGGAAGGUGAGGACGACGUCAAGUCAUCAUGGCCCUUACGGCUAGGGCAACACACGUGCUACAAUGGUUAGGACAAUGAGAAGCGAUACCGCGAGGUGGAGCAAAUCUAUAAACCUAAUCUCAGUUCGGAUAGCAGUCUGCAACUCGACUGCUUGAAGCUGGAAUCACUAGUAAUCGUAGAUCAGCCAUGCUACGGUGAAUACGUACCCGGGUCU
This 405-nucleotide ribosomal RNA is filed under the name uncultured bacterium. RNAcentral's name for it is "bacterial SSU rRNA". It matches the Rfam family "Bacterial small subunit ribosomal RNA", at positions 976 to 1381 of the family's 1533-position model. The record is from RNAcentral.